Molecule: unclassified non-coding RNA, 271 nt
Filed under: Hevea brasiliensis (rubber tree)
Lineage: Eukaryota; Viridiplantae; Streptophyta; Magnoliopsida; Malpighiales; Euphorbiaceae
Source: RNAcentral
AAGGAAUUUCAACUUACCCAAAAAGACAGAGAAGAAAGAAAAUUAGAAGAAGAAAUAAUGAAUAUUAACAGAGCAGAGUCAGAUGAUUAUGAGGAAGAGGAUAUAGAGUUAAAAAUGGCGAGACGAGAAAGUCUAUGGCAAUUUGAUGAAGAUGCAUUUCCAAGGAGAGCUGGUGCUCAUUUUGAAGGUGGUGGUAGUAGCUGCCAUGAUGCUUCCCACCAAGUAUUAGGCUAGUAGGCUACUAUUCGUGAAAGGGGUAGAGAAGCUACAA